AAAUCGCACGUGGUAAAUGAUCACUCGACCAGAAAUUAAAUGUAAUUUAAAUUAACAUAACAAAAGACUUGAUGUGUACGAUAAAAUUGAAACUGCCUAAUAAAUACAGGUAGCCUUUGUGAGAAAUAAAUAAAGAUAAAAACAUACUUUAUUCAAAAAAUUAUAUUUGGUGAGAGCUGGUAAAGAUAUAUAGAUCGAUAAUGAUUGCAGGUACAUGUACAUUUGUACAAGGAUAGAUAAGAUUUAUAAAGGUGAUGUUAAUAAUUCAUAGUGGGAGGUUUUUUUUGCUCAUUGCUUUUUUCCCGACAAAUGAGACUGUAAAAAUUGGGGCCCCCUUAGUUGCUCCCCUGGGCAACUGAGGGUUGAUGUAACAGGUGAUUGUUGAUAAAAUAUGUUUAAU
Molecule: long non-coding RNA, 400 nt
Filed under: Mytilus galloprovincialis (Mediterranean mussel)
Lineage: Eukaryota; Metazoa; Mollusca; Bivalvia; Mytilida; Mytilidae
Source: RNAcentral